CUCCCGAUCCCUGGGGUUCACUGCCGUUCACCUUUAAGCCCUGGGAACAGCUUCUGCUUGUGCCCAGCACUGCUGGAAUCCCAAUUGUCCCGGUCCAGCUGCUCCACAAGCACAUGGAGAGCCCAAGCAGCACGCUUGGGAAGCAGCUCGGGCAGUGAAACCGUCCCCUUGGGGUGACAGCAGGAGGGCAAAGAGCCCCAAUAGCGCAGGUUUGCCUUUGCCUUCACCUCCAAGGGGGGGAAAGCUCUGCCAGGACGCGAGCUGGAGCGUUUCUAACCAGCCCUGAGCCUGCCCUAAUAACGUUUUAGGCGGUGGUAACAACGUCAGAGCAACCGGGGCUGAAACCAACGGAGAGGCCGGAGCAGGGAGAGGAAAAGACCCCCGAGGUGGGGGGGAAACAUCAGCUUUGAUUGGGUUUGAAGCUGAAAACUCCAAGUCCUGGGGUUGGUGCUUGGGGAAGGGCUGGAGGCCGAGGAGCACCUGCGGGUGCUGCCGGAUGGGAGGAGAGAGCCGUUGGUUUACAAUACCCUGGUGUUAUAUAUCCCCUGAUAGAGGAGCAGCUGCUCCGGGUUCCACCAGGAUCAGCCGGUUCUAUUAGCAGAGCUUUCGAGCUCCAUGGGAGUGGAAAGGAGGGAGAAGGAGGUUGGGGGGGGGGGGGGGGCACAGAGAGGUUUCUGUCUUAAGGCAGCGAUGGAGGCACGCAAAUGGAGGCGGCGCUGACCGUGCUGCGGACUCGCGUCUUCGCCUCGGUGACUCCUCAAUAACACGCGAACACCCAUCGGGAUCCCGCUGCAGAGCUCGGGAUCAGGAACGGCAGAUCCGAGAUGAAGGUUUCAGCAGGUCGGUAAAACCAGGCCACGCCGCUUUAAGUAUUUUUAGCAGGAAUCUGCAAGGUCAUUCCCACCGCGCUCCCCGUGAGGGUCCCUCCUCCGUGCAGCUUCCAGCCCGGCUCAGGCACAGCAGUGCUCACUCCACAGGCUGCAGGGGCUCAGCAGGGCAGGAGCUGCCUGCUCCCUUCGGUGGGUAAAGGAGGGCUCACACCCUG
This 1045-nucleotide long non-coding RNA is filed under the name Melopsittacus undulatus (budgerigar). Its description in RNAcentral is "lncRNA (ENSMUNG00000021761.1)". Lineage: Eukaryota; Metazoa; Chordata; Aves; Psittaciformes; Psittaculidae. The record is from RNAcentral.